GUCGAUUUCAAUAUACCUACAUAUAAUGAAUAAUUAAGUCUUUCAGAUAACUUGUUAUUUUAAGAUGUUAUCAUAACCUUCGUGGUUAUUACAAAAAUCAUAUGUUACAGAUAUACAAGUAUGUAACACGACUGGUUGUCAUAUAGCUGCCUAUUUACCUCGAUUCCGACUUAAAUUAAAACAAUGUAUAAUGUAUAAAAAAACAAAAAAAUGAAUAAUGUAUAAAAAAAAAAACAAAAAAAAAAAACUGACUGUAGUUUUUACAAGAAAAGGUUUUAUUCGCAAAUAACAAUGCAACCCAACGACAUAAAUUACAAAAAUUAAAAAAAAAACCAGCUGGUGUCGGGCAUCCAUUUUUCAGCAAUAAACAGGUUUGCAUACAAAAUAAUAAACUUUAUAUAGUAUGGUAUCUAAAAUUUGUAAAUAUGUUAAACAAAUGAUACCAAAUAUUUACCAUCAAACUAAUUUCGGCUUAUUUUUAACUGAAGCAUAAACUUCAAGACAUAAAAUAAAACCAGCAAUGAGUUAUCGGAAUUUUUAUAGGGACAAGCAUAUAAUGAUAAAUUCAAUAGUGUUUUGUUUUAAUUCAAGACCCUCACAGUAUUUGUUUGUUAUGACGGAUUCGACAACUGGCUAUCAAUUUUGUUAUGUUAUGUGAAUUAACAGUGGGAGAAAAGGUGCUAUUUAGUUGAUGUAAUUAUCUCCUAAUUGCGUUUUAACUCAGGUCCUUGUACUUAACAUAAACAUACGUGAAUACUUGGGAAUAUGCUCCCAGGUUUACACAAUUUCUCCAUGCAUACACCAUCUAGACUACUAGCAAUCCUGUCUAUGCUUUCACCCGAAAGGAUAAUGUUACAUUGCAAUCUUUGCAAAUUCUUUGAAAUUUCAAUUUUCAUCAAUUUAUUUUCUAUUUAUUUUGGUCUAAAGUUUCAAUUCACAUUAAAUAAAUAAAAUGUCUUUUCACUACAUCAAUAUUUAUAAUGAAGCUUCGCAACAAACAAUUAGAAAAGUCGAAAUAUGUUUAUUUCAGUCUGGUAGUUACAAUGCAGAUUGCAAUCUCUUAGUUUCACCCCCUUUAUUUCAAGCAAUAAGAUGAUUCGCGCACAUAUUGUUUUUACACUUAAUUUUUCAGAUUCUUAAGAAUUUGUUUAUUAAAUCUUAUAUGGACCACAUACAAUGUUUAAAAAGGAAGAAAUGCUUAAAAGCUGUUUUUUCGCAGAUGGCGGUAUUUUGGGCAACUUAAUGCGUUGUUAUGAUUUGCUGUUUGAUUAGAAGUAAGCAUAAUUUUAGGGAAUUUUAUGAUGUCAAAAACUUCUUUGAUAGUCAUUACAGGGUUUUACUUAGUUUUAAUUGAUUAGCAUUUGCACCAGAAAGAC
Molecule: long non-coding RNA, 1376 nt
Filed under: Mytilus galloprovincialis (Mediterranean mussel)
Lineage: Eukaryota; Metazoa; Mollusca; Bivalvia; Mytilida; Mytilidae
Source: RNAcentral